Molecule: long non-coding RNA, 185 nt
Organism: Octopus sinensis (East Asian common octopus)
Lineage: Eukaryota; Metazoa; Mollusca; Cephalopoda; Octopoda; Octopodidae
Exons: 3
Source: RefSeq, a predicted model, not a curated record
UUUUAAUAUAUUUUUAUUAUUCUUUUCUAAUCUAGAAGGUCCGAAUUUUCGGGGAGGGGCCAUUCAAUUAGAUGGACCCCAGUGCGCAACUGGUACUUAAUUUAUCGACCUUGAAAGGAUGAAAAGCAAGGUCGACCUCAUCGGAAUUUGAACUCAGAACAUAAAGACAGACGAAAUACCGCUAA